RNAcentral lists this ribosomal RNA (429 nucleotides) under Gemmatimonadota bacterium. RNAcentral describes it as "Gemmatimonadetes bacterium partial 16S ribosomal RNA". It matches the Rfam family "Bacterial small subunit ribosomal RNA", at positions 355 to 776 of the family's 1533-position model. Lineage: Bacteria; Pseudomonadati; Gemmatimonadota. The record is from RNAcentral.
UAGGGAAUCUUCGGCAAUGGACGAAAGUCUGACCGAGCAACGCCGCGUGAGUGAAGAAGGUUUUCGGAUCGUAAAACUCUGUUGUUAGAGAAGAACAAGGACGUUAGUAACUGAACGUCCCCUGACGGUAUCUAACCAGAAAGCCACGGCUAACUACGUGCCAGCAGCCGCGGUAAGACGUAGGUGGCAAGCGUUGUCCGGAUUUAUUGGGCGUAAAGCGAGCGCAGGCGGUUUCUUAAGUCUGAUGUGAAAGCCCCCGGCUCAACCGGGGAGGGUCAUUGGAAACUGGGAGACGUGAGUGCAGAAGAGGAGAGUGGAAAUCAAUGUGUAGCGGUGAAAUGCGUAGAUAUAUGGGAGAACACCAGGGGCGAAGGCGGCACUCUGGUCUGUAACUGACGCUGAGGCUCGAAAGCGGGGGGAGCAAACAGG